CCCUGCUCCGCAGGAUUCGAACCUGAGAGCCAGCCGGCGUCCUACAGCGUGCGGGUCGGUGGCGAGGCCUUGGCAGACGGGGCUCCCGGACGUUCCCUCCGCCGGAAGGAGUGAUAUCCUGAGAGAAGAUGGGCAAGGGCUGCAAGGUUGUAGUUUGUGGAUUGUUAUCUGUGGGGAAAACGGCAAUUUUGGAGCAGCUUCUUUAUGGGAAUCAUACUAUUGGGAUGGAAGACUGUGAAACGAUGGAAGAUGUGUACAUGGCUUCAGUGGAAACAGACCGGGGGGUGAAGGAACAGUUACACCUUUAUGACACCCGAGGCCUACAGGAAGGCGUGGAGCUGCCAAAGCAUUAUUUUUCAUUGGCUGAUGGCUUUGUUCUUGUGUACAGUGUGAAUAACCUUGAAUCCUUUCAAAGAGUGGAGCUUCUAAAGAAAGAAAUUGAUAAGUUCAAAGACAAAAAAGAGGUAAACGGAGAUGUUAAAAGUGCCAGAUGUGAAUUAUAAUCCUCUUUAAACGGUAGCAUGGACUUUUGGGUACUUUGAUUAUUUAAAAGGAUUAAAUUGUAGUCCCAGUAUGUGUAAUCUUCAGAAUUUUUUUCUUAGUCCAGUAAAUACGGGGCCGAUUACGAUUGAUCAGGACCAGCAUUUGACUUUCUGCCUUUUGCUUACUGCCAUGUCGAAUUUUAAUGACUUCGUAUCUUGACUACUAUGCAGUUUAAUUUUGUGUUGUUUGGGGUCAUUGUUUUUCUUCUUCUUAAUUAUUAUUAUUUUUAUUUAUUUAUUGUGCUUUAAGUGAAGUUUACAAAUCAAGUCAGUCUCUCAUACAAAAAGCUAUACACACCUUGCUAUGUACUCCUAGCUGCUCUCCCCCUAAUGAGACAGCACACUCCUUUUCUCCUCCCUGUAUUCCCCGUGUCCAUUCCAGCCAGCUCCUGUCCCCUUCUUCCUUCUCAUCUCGCCACCAGACAGGAGUUGCCCACAUAGUCUCAAACGCCUCAUUGGCUAAAUAGACAACCUUCACAUGGCCGACUCAUCAUCUAGGGAACCAUAUAACGUACUGGAUAAGAGCACUGGCUGGAUGCACUUAACCUAGAUGUUUAUAUUUUAUUUAUUUUAAUAUUAAAUUUUUUAUUUUGAGAUGAUUGUAGAUUUACAUGCAGUUGUAAUAAUAGAGAGAUCCUGUACCCAGUUUUGGUAACAUCUUGCACAGCUGUAACAUCACAAGGAUAUGGACAUUGAAACAGACAAGAUGCUGAAAUUUCCAUCCCUACAAGGAUCCUUCUUGUUACCCUUUUAUAGCCACACCUACCUCCCUCCUACCUCACCCCUUCUUAGCCCCUGGCAACAACUAAUCUCUUCUCCAUUCCUGUAGUUUUGUCAUUUCAAGAAUAUUAUAUAAAUGGAAUCAUACAGUAUGUAAUCUUUUGGGAUCAACUUUUUUUUUUUUUCAUUCUGCAUAAUUUCCUGGAGAUUCAUCCAAGUUGUUGCAUAUAUACCAAGUGCCUGCUAGGUGAGAAUGAUAUUAGUUUCAUUUUUCUUCAUAUGAAGGAGGUUGAGUACCUUUUGACUUGUUUUAAAAUGAUCACUUUGACUGCUUUGUUGCCAAUAGACAGUUGGAGGACAAGGUGAAAGAAAGUUCAGCUGAAACACUAUUACCCUGUGGCAUCUUAACAUCUACAAGUUGGAGCGUUGAGGAGAAACCAGCAAAGAAGUCUGAGUAGUAGUGGCCACUGAGGUAGAAGGAAAACCAAGAGAUAGGGGUGUCCCAGUAGGCAAGUAAAGCCAACACGUUAAAAAGGAGGGAGUGAUCAAACUAAGUCAUAUAUUGCAGGUAGGUCGAAAAUGCCAAGGACUAAGAAUUGGCCGUUGUCUUUAAUCCACGUGGAGGUCUCGACAAGAACAGCUUUAGUAAAAUAGUGAGAUGAAGCCUGAUUGGAGUGAAUAUAAGAGAAUUGAACACAGCAAACACAGUUCUUUGAAAGAAUUUUGCUGUAAAGGGGAACGACUGGCAUAGGAGCUGGAGAAGGUUGUGGUGUAAAAAUUGGUUUGUUUUUUUUAAGAUGAGCAAUAACGUUGUUUGUACUAAUGAUGAUAAUUCCACAGAGAGGAGAACGCUGGUGAUGUAGGCGAGGGCAUACUUGCUGGACUGACAUCCUUGUCCUGGUAAAGGGAUGGGUUGCAGAGUGUCCAUGGACGUAGAAAAUGGCAGGUCGUUGGAUGUGUGGAAGGUUGUGGACGUUCUCUCCUAAUUGCUUCCAUUUUCUUACCGAGACAGAUGGUCAUCAGGUGAGAGUAAAGUGGAGAAAGGGAGAGAUGUUGGAAGUUGGAGGAGAAAGGACCAAGGUAUGAGAUAUUAUCUAGCUGUAGAGUAAAUGGAGGAAAUGUAAUAUAUUUACUGAAGAACAUCAGCCCACUUGAGGUCAGAGGUUAUGAAUUGGGACGUGCCAGCAGUGUUCUGUGUUUUUCUCCAGCCAUGAUCAAGUAUGUAGUGUAGGCACGGGGUAGGAGUUUUGCUAGGUGAAUUUGAUAGGAUAAAAUGGUAAAGGGAGUGAAUAAAAAGGAUCUAUCUUAGCUGGAUAAGGAAGAACUGAGGAAUUAAAGGGGGUAGAGGGGCAGUGAUAAACGUGGUAGAGAUAGUGCGAUUGUGGUGUUUAGAAUUGUUGGAGCCAGAGUGUUAGGUGUGAACUAGGAAGGUAGGAGACGAUGGUCAGAAUGGGAGGCUUGGAACGAGAUCAGGAAGGGGAGUAGUUAUUGUAAUGACAAGGUCUCACAUGUGAUCAUGGGAGUCAUUGGCUGAGGUAAGGAGGAUGAUGAGAUCAUUGGAGAGGUCAAGGAACUGAGAUACCAGGUUUUUGGAAGGGUCACCUACAUGGUUAGUGAAAUCACUAGGAAUGAAGACAGUAGUGUGGGAGCAAGCAUGAGUCAGGUCUGUGAUAAGCAGCAACGAGGAGGGAUAGGAGGGAGUAGACUAAGGGCAUGAGCCUUCAGCAGGCGUUUUUAGGGAAGGACACUGUUGGAGGCAGCACUGAGGGACAAAGGGGGCACCUUAACACCUCCUGUCUCCCAGCCACAGUGGUCGUUGUAGGAGGGGAGUGGUAAGGAAAGCAAGGUUGAGAGGGCUGCAGGGCUGAGCCAACUUUCAGUGAGGCAAGAAGGUGAACGAACAUUCAGAACAGAGGUGGUGGGAGAUACAGGGAGAUUUUUUGAGGGGGCAGAAUGUAAGUUUCAGCAGUUGGGGAGGAGCAGGAGAGGGGAGUCAGACCAGGGCACGUACAUGAAGAUGAAAAUCUGAGUGAUGAGGAAUGACAGGAGGGCUUGAAGGGAGAGCUCCUGCUGAGGGAUGGAGGAGUCCAAGAGUUGCCAAGAGAAUGGGAGGUCUGGGGCCUACUCUUCAAUCCUGCAGGAAGGUGUGGCCUUACAUGGAGUACUGGGGGUCCAAUCUGUAUCCUAGAUAUUAAUUUCCCAAAUGAGUUCUAUUAAUACGUAAGUUAAAACCUCAUCAGCUGUUAAUUCAAGCAUCAGCAUUGUUAACAAAAAUGGCUUCAGGAAUUAGGAGUGAGGUGCUAUCCUACUGUCUUAUUCAGGUUACAAUGGACCAUCAGUAUUAAUGAAGCAGUUUGUUAAAGGGCAGUUGUCCCUAUUUCUCCAUUUUUUAUAGGGCUACCUUUGGCAAAGUAUGAGUGUCUUAGUUACUGAGUGCUGCUGUAACAGAAAUACCACAAGUGGGUGACUGAAGAAACAGGUUUUUAUUUUCUUAGAGUUUAGGAGGCUAGAAGUCUGAAUUCAGAGUGCCAGUGCUAGGGGAGGGCUUUCUCUGUUGGCUUGGAGAAAGGUCCUUGUCUCCUUGAGGUUCUGUGUCUGGACAGACUUCAUGUGGCUUGGCAUCUCUCUUCCCUCAUCUCGUCUCACUUGUUCAAUCUCUUUUAUAACUCAAAAGAGACUGGCUGAAGAUACACCCUACAUUAACCUUGUCUCAUUAACAAAACAAAGACAAAAUCCAUUCCCAAAUGAGAUUAUAACCACAGGCAUAGAAGUUAGGAUUUACAACACAUAUUUUGGGAGGACAUAAUCCAAUCCAUAACAUUCUACCCUUUGGCCCCCCAAAAUUUAUGUCCUUGCCACAUGCAAAACAUACCCCAUCACAUCAUCCCAAAAGUUUUAAAUCCACUCCAAGUCCAAAAUCUCAUCUUCUGAAUCACCUAAAUCAAAUAUGAGUGAGACUUUAGGCUUAGUCCAUCCUGGGACAAAAUUCUUCAUCUGUGAACCUGUGAAAUCUGGAAUACAAGUUAUAUGUUUCCAAAGUACAGUGGUGGAACAGGCACAAGGUAGGCAUUGCCAUUACAAAUGGGAGAAAUUGGAGGGAAAGGGAUAACAGGCACCAAGCAAGUCUAAAACCCAGCAGAACAAAUCACAUUGGCUCUCAAGGUUUGAAAAUAAUCCCCAGUUCUCUGAAACCAUGUGGGCAUUGGCCCUGUCCUCCAGACUCUAGGUGUUGGCCACACCUCCUGGAUUCUGGGUGGAGACCGGUCAGCCCUGGGCUUCAGCUCUGCCUUCCAGCCCACUGGGACAGCAACUGUACUCCCUCAGCUUUGGGUGGCCCCCUUCUCCUAGCCCAUUUGAGUGGCAACACCACCUCCUCGGCUCCUAGCAGGCCCUAUUCUUCUGCCCCUUGGGCAUGGCAGCCCUGACCCCUCUGCUUUGGGCAGCAGCCCCAUCCCUCUGGCACACCUUAACAGUAGCCCUAUACUCCAGAAGAUCCAACUCUUUGAAACUCAGGAGGCUGUGGCCCCACCCUUUGAGACCAAGGCAACUCUGCUUCCUGUGCUCCUUCCAACAGUUCUGCUGAUCUCUGAGCUGCUCCAGGGAUAGUUUUUUUCUUGGAGGACAACAGAUGUAGCUCCUUUGGCUUGUUUUCUGCCUGUAGAAUUCCAAGAGGCUGACAGCAUUCUCUUUCCAUUCCUUCUCUGUCCCUUUCAGUCUAAGCUGAUGCGUUUUCUGCUGUGGUAGUUGGUUACAUCCACCAGUCACAGGUUUAUUCUCUUUAACAAGUUUGUGUAGCCACGUCCAUGGUGAACAUUCUAGGACAUGUGUCCUUAGGUUGUACAGUUUUCCAAAUCUUUUAAGUUCUGUUUUCAUUUUGCACAGUUCAUUUUGAAGUCCAUCUCUUUCCUCUCACAUCUUAUAAGCAGCCUCUUUAAAAUCUUGCUUAGAAAUCUUCUCAGCCAGAUGAAUUCAUCACUUAUGAAUCCUACCUUCCACCAAACAUUUGAACAAAACUCACACAAGUUCUUUGCCACUGCAUAAGAAGUAUUGCUCUUCCUCCAUUGUCCAGUCACAUGGUCAUCAUUUUAAAGCCUCACCAGAAGCACAUUUCAUGUCCACAUUUCUAGCAGCAUUCUUUGUUGGCGCCAUAUGUAUGCUCUAUGAUAGAGACUUCCUCUAUAGCUCUCCCCACUUCCUUCGGAGCCCUCAUCAGAAUCACCUUUGGCAUCCAUAAUUCUACCAACAAUCCCUUCUGGGCAAUCUAGGCUUUUACUAUUAGGGACCUUAACUCUUCCAGCCUCUCCCUGUUACCCAAUGUCAUAACUUCCACAUACUAGGUAUUUGUUAGAGCAGCACCCUUACUUCUUGGUACCAGACCCUUAGCUGUCUAGUGCUGCUAUAACAGAAAUACCACAGGUGGGUAGCUUUAAGAAACAAAUUUGUUUUCUUACUGUUUAGGAGGUUGGAAGUCUGAAUUCAGGGUGCCCGCUCUAGAGAAAGGCUUUCUCGGUUGACUUGGAGAAAGGUCCUCGUCUCUGAACUUCUGCUCCUGGGUGAUCGUCCCGUGGCUUGGCAUGUCUCUUCCUCGUCUCUGCUCUGCUCGCUUGUUUUAAUCUCUUUUAUAUCUCAAAAGAGACUGACUCAAGAUAUACCCACACUGAUCCUGCCUCAGUAACAAGGACAACCCAUUCCCAAGUGGGAUUACAGUCACAGGCAUAGAGGUAGCAAUUGUUGUGCUAGGCAACAAACUCGACCUUUCCGAGCAGAGACAAGUGGAUGCUGAGGUGGCACAGCAGUGGGCAAAAAGUGAGAAAGUGAGACUGUGGGAGGUUA
This is an RNA transcript of Loxodonta africana (African savanna elephant), 6095 nucleotides long. It is a transcript of the gene named NFKB inhibitor interacting Ras like 1, with no coding region annotated. The transcript has 4 exons. Lineage: Eukaryota; Metazoa; Chordata; Mammalia; Proboscidea; Elephantidae. The record is from RefSeq and is a predicted model, not a curated record.